GGAAAAGCACUGGACUUGGAGUCAGAAGGCCUG
Molecule: microRNA, 33 nt
Filed under: Vombatus ursinus (common wombat)
Lineage: Eukaryota; Metazoa; Chordata; Mammalia; Diprotodontia; Vombatidae
Description: miRNA (ENSVURG00010019990.1)
Source: RNAcentral